CGCGCGGUAGAGCAGUUUGGUAGCUCGUCAGUCUCCUUAGCUGAAGGUCGUGGGUUCAAAUCCCAUCUGCGCAACCA
RNAcentral lists this transfer RNA (77 nucleotides) under Bacillota bacterium. RNAcentral's name for it is "tRNA-Arg". It matches the Rfam family "tRNA". Rfam says of the family: Transfer RNA (tRNA) molecules are approximately 80 nucleotides in length. Their secondary structure includes four short double-helical elements and three loops (D, anti-codon, and T loops). Lineage: Bacteria; Bacillati; Bacillota. The record is from RNAcentral.